ACCACAAGUUAACAAGCUCAGCUUUGUGACCUUAAUUAGGUUAGAACCUUCCUCCGGACGUGCAGCUGCUGCCUGAAACAGACCAGACCUUAACCAGUUUCACAUUGAAGGCUUUUGUUGUGCAUUUGUUGGAAAAUAAAUUGUUUAUUAUCAUAUUUGCAAAUUGUCCUUUUUUGAAGCAGUGGCUAAACAAAGAUUACAAGUGAGUACCUUGUUGAUCUUUGAUGUCCUUUCCACUGGCUGUCUCUGAACUUCUUUAGUGGCACUUUAUUGUCGAGGAAGCUCUGAUACUGCUUCUUUGUGGAUGUGAUAGGUUGCUAACAAAGUCAAAGGGGAGUGGUCAUUAUCACUGUUGUCUUAAGGAAAUGAUGAACUCCAGGAACUGAGCUACCUCCCCACUCAAGUCUUUGGCUUGCUUGUGAGCAACACUAUAAGCUCACUGUACCACAGGGCAGAAAAAAAAUCUAUAAAUAUGUAUCAUCAUACAUUAUUCUGCAUGUCAGCAUUAAAAUGUGUUGGAAUAAUUUAAAGCUAAGAUUACUGUAAGUAGCAUUCAUUUACACCUGCAGAAAUGUUCUUUUUGCAUUUCACUCCUGAGAUAAAAUUGAAGAUCCACAAGUGAAACAACUGGCACUGUUCAAAAGUAGCUUAGUUUACUUUCUACCAUACACCUUAUGUUUUUGAAUAGCUAAGCCCUUCAGGGAGCUGCUCGGCCGCUGAUUUGGAGUUCAUAAUGUUGGAGGAACAGGGGAGCAUUUACAGAGAUGGAAUUCAAGUUAAUGGGAGUCUGACAGAAAGCAUAUUUUGGUAAUAUAACUGAUUGACUGAAGAUCUAGGUCAGAAAGGUCUGUGUUUUCUUAUAGAUUCUUGCAGGACAACUGUGUUAAAAGUAUUUUGCAUAAAGUAUAGGACAAUGAAUUGUAGAAAUGGACAAAAAGAAAUUCAUAUUGCAAGCUGUCAAGUUCCAUCUACAGGGGUCUACCAAUGUUUGGCUCAGAGUCCAAAACAGCAAUCUGGUAGAGAAGAAAGGAGUUAAUUAUUGGACCGUGAUUCUUCCUUGUGUGGUUUUUCUGAAGUUGGAUCAGCAUUUAUUAUAGUGAUAAAUUAUUCUUAGCUAAUUUGUCAUAAAAUAAAUAGCAUCUGGCAUUACUCCAAAGCUCUACUAAGACAAAGCAAUUCUGCUGCAGAGAGAGUGCAAAAGAAAUGUUGCUUUGUUAAGCCAGGUCACAAGAGUUCUUCUAAAGCAAUUAUUAAAAAAUGCAGCUAUUGCUAACAAUAGCAAUAAAGCAAUCUCUUUAAUAGAUGCUUUAGCAAAAUUUAAAUUUGAGCAACUGAUAAAAGAGUGCUAACAAGUGAUUGGGGACACAUCCACAGAAUACUUGAUGGACACAGGUUUUCUUUUUAAACCAACUAAAAUCAAUCAAAAUCAUUUUUCUAGGGCUUACAAUUGCUCUUGAUGGCAAAUAAGCGUACCUCUCAUCAAAAUGAGGAUGUUUUACACAAAACUAGUAUUUAGACAUUUCUCCUUAUCAGAAAUAUUACACAACGACAUCCGCACAAGAAGCCAAUCCCAUCACACUCAAGACUGGACCAAAUUUUGCCAAGAGAAACAGCAAUCAAGGAGCCAAUUUUUUUCUCGCAGCUUUUGACAAAAGAUUUUCCACUUGAGGGGUUCAUCUUUAAUCAUUAUAAAAGCACAGAAGUUUAAUCCAUUUUUGAUGUAAAUGCUAAUAACUGCGUGUCCUUGAAGUUCAAAGUGGUCUUUGUGCAUGGCAGUAAUUAGCCAAGCAAGGUGGUCUCUGCCUUCUGCUUCUAAUGACAUCCUUAACAACAAACAAAUGUCAGCCUUACAAAAGCGGUAACAUUUUUUUUUUUUUUUGGCAAGUAGUUUUGGAGGAUAAAAGAGAUUUCAUCCCCAAGCUCUAUGCUAUCAGUCUGAAAUGAUCUAGAACAACUAUGCCAGAAGUUUUCAAAAGCCAGAAAAUGCAAAACAGAUGAUUCUUCUUUCCAGUAGAUUUGUAGAGACAUUAAUUAAUAUGGGAGAUAUAUUGGAUUCUACAAGAAUUGUAGAAUCAGUGCCACCUUUUACAAAGAUAGGAGUGAAACUAUUGCAAUGUGACACCUCAAAUCCUCAGCUUUUGCACAUCUCCAAAAAUGACAGUAGGAUGAACAGCAUCAAAAGUCCCUAAGAGAGCAAGGAAUAUCAACAAAACCACGGUUUCCUUGUCUCUUUUUUCCAGUACAGCAGAGAACGUCUCUUGGAAUGAGCAAGGCUGCCUUUGUGCAAGAGCCAAAUGUAAAUUGAGACUGGAAAUGACCCAGAUAAUCCAUGUUCUCACAGAGACCAUGGAACUGCAGGGCCUCUGUCUUUUCUCCCUGCUAGAGAUGGAUUGAUGAGCAUAAGACAAUAGUUGUCCAAGAUGGCUUGCACUAGUGAUAGUUUCUUAAAACGUUUCUUAAAAAGAGCCUCAUCAUUAUCUGCCCCAGAAAGGUCCUAAUAAUCUCAGAAAUCACCGGCCAAAUAGUGUUCUUGAGGUCCUUAUCUGCCAAGCCAGGGAGGGAUCCAUCAGGCAAGAAAUGGGGCAAACAGUUACAGGUACUAUCACAUCCUCAAGGGCAAAACAUGAAACUGUCCCCAAAAGCUCAAGUACAACACAAUACCUAUGCUUUUAUCUAAGAUGCAUAGCCCAAACAAUGGACAAAUUGCUGAAUGAAAUCGGUAUAAUACUGGUACAGGGGCAUGUUAUUCAAUCAACAGUGUACAAUCAGAGCAAAGCGUAUUUUUUUUAAUUGCCAUGGUAUAUACAUCACAACUGAUCAGAUUCAAUCCUCAUCUGUAUUAUAGUUAUUCUUAAUACUUUUCUUCUGAACACUUAGAAAUGACUUGUAUAAAGCACCUGGGAAAUCAAAUCCAGACAUUCAGCCCUUCAUGUCUUAUCCUCCCUUGUCUUCUUUGAAGUGGACAGGUUCCCCCACACCCCUGUUAAGGGUCACAUUCUCCUUGUAAUAAUCUCUUCCAUCAUCUUCUAUGUCUCGCAAGAAGCAAUAGGCAGGGAACAAGCCUCUUACCAGGUGUCAUUUUUGCGAAAUUAAGGGGACUCUGAAAUUGAUCCAAGUGCCACACAUAAGUGUUUUCUCAGAAAGAGGUGGUUUGAGACUUUACCUUCCUAGGACUGAGAGACUGGCCUAAGAUCACCCAGAUGGCCUCGGGACUAAGGUGGAACCAGAAGUAGCCUUAACCGCUACACCACAGGCUCUCUUUAAAGGACAUAACUUUAAUAAAAGCGGUUCUCUCUAUGUCUAGCAUUCAUUUUUCUUCCUCAUGAUCUCACUUUUCAAACCAGGAUUGUUCAUUUUGUUCAAUACGGGUGGAAGCACCUAAGCAACUUCAGCUGACUCCAAAAAUACUAAGCAGAUUUAGUACUUAAAUGGAGACAAUCAGGGAACCCUAGCGAUGUUGGCAAACUGGGAACAACUUGAUAAAGCUUCUGGAAGUUGGCAAGAUCAAAUCACUUACAGUAUAUAUUGUUACCUAGAAAACAUGAAUGCAUGCGGCCAUAUUGUCACUAAGAGUUGAGCUUGACUGAAAAUACAUUUUUGGGGGAUAUCUACAUUAUUUCUUUCAACUGUCAAGUCAUAUUUUCUUUUUAUUAGGAGCCAUCAUUGAUUUGUCCUUUUUUGGGGGGGGGGCAGUGUGGCCCUUUGUUUCACUAUGUUUUAAUUUUUAUCUAUGGGCCCAUUAUGUAAAGAAGAAAUUAUCUUGAAAAUAUGUGGCAAUUGUUGGCUUGGAAAAAGCAAGAAGGUGUGAGAAACGCAUGCCUGCCACACCUUGACAUGUUUUGAUAUAAGAGGAAGGGAUAGAGAAACACUUACAAGCUUUCAAGAUUCUGUUCUAACGGCCUAUAGAAGUAAAGUGGAUUUCCAGCAGUUCUUAUGGUGUCUAUAUGACCCAUGCAUCUUUCCUCAAGUGGGUCUCUCUUUUAACUUUUCUAAGUCUUGCUUUUGAACUCAGCCAAACUGACAAUAGCUUCCCUAACAGAAGCUAGAUAGCAAACAACUUUAUUGCCUAAAUUUGCUCAAUAGCAAGAAAUAUCUCUGGCAGGAACAUAAGCAGACGAACAAAGAGGCCUGUGCAAAAGAGACAGCACAAACCUUCAUUACAGUGAACAAUCUCAGCUUCUCUUCAAAUUACUUCUGUAAAAACCUUAGGUUGCCUAGAUUCUUUCCCUUCCACUCCAGAGCCAAUCCUUUUCCUUUCUCAUUAACGUUUUGAAUUGAUUCUUGUCUACUUCUAUUUAGCAAGAUCUCACAAGUUUGCCUUGAAUUCUAAACAAAAAGCACUGAGUAGCUCUGAGGUUGGGGCCUAUCACAUACCUUUGACAUCUAGCCUCUCUAUUUUCAGCUACCUUUUUUUUUAUUAAAAGCAAAGUAAUGAUCCAGCACAGAAUAAGCCUUGCUAUUUAUUACAAAGCCGCAAAAUAAGCCAUUUUUCUUUUUAACUCCACAUUUUACUUUUUCACUCAUAUGUCUAUUCCUAGUUUUUUUUAACCAUUGGUGACCAGAUUUGCAUUAAUUGUUUAUCACAGCCUGGACAGGCCUUUUAUUAAUAUUAAUGAGGGACUGGGAAGAAAGAGACCCUUUAUUUUUAGCCUACUCUAAUUGCGUAGUAAUUAUUCAUCUACAAAACAAAUGAGCCGAACUCCAUUGCUAUGGUAACUGAAAUUCUGGCCUCCCACUGUAACGCAUUAACAGGCUAUCAUCCCUGUUAUAUUUUAAAUUGAACCCUUUUGUACAAUAGUAGAAAAAUAGGCAACUUAAAGUAGAGACUUUGUUCAGCCGUUAUGUUAAUUUCCAAUGCUCAUUGUUAGGGAAUGGCUUUCCCUAGGAUUGUGGCGCAUCAAAUUUUCUGUCUCUGGUUGGGUGCACAGAACCAAACGCACUCAUUUUCAAUAUGAAAAUUCCCCACGUGGUUUUCAUAGUCAAGGAGGACAAUGAUUUGGCUCAUUUUGAUCUGAAAGUUUCUGUUUUUGUAGGUCUCCAAAAGAAGCAUUGGGACAAGCUGGCCCUCUACAAGUGGCCAUGGAGAAAUUAAAAUUUGUCUUGCACAGGUGUUACAAAAGUGAGUGUGAUAAAGACGGAAGUGUGCAAUGAAAGUAGGAGUACCUGAUCUAAUGGCAAUCAAGUAUAGGAAUGAAAACUCCUCUAAUUUAAAAGGGCAUGGAAAAUAUCAGCUUCUCCAAACUGGGGUAGUUCCCAAAUUAAAAACGACAACAAAGAACUAAUAAUUACUUAUUAUGAUCAAGUAUUCAAGAACUAACUGCAUUCUCUUGGGAUUAAAGGAUGUGAGUCUUUGAAUAAGAGGCAGUUUGAUGAAGAGAUUAAGGCAUCAGGUUCAGAAACUGGAGACUGUGUGUUUUACUCUCGCUCAGGCACGAAACCAAUUGGGUAACCUGUGGCUAGUAACUCUCUCUCAGCCUUAGCAAGAAGGAAAACUGCAGGGAUUUGUCCAGCAGCCGCCAGGAAUCAACACUGUCUUUAAAACAUUCCAAAGAAACAAACCAACCCAUCUCUGA
This is a non-coding RNA of Notechis scutatus (mainland tiger snake), 5573 nucleotides long. The record is from RefSeq and is a predicted model, not a curated record. Lineage: Eukaryota; Metazoa; Chordata; Lepidosauria; Squamata; Elapidae.